RNAcentral lists this microRNA (22 nucleotides) under Aedes aegypti (yellow fever mosquito). Lineage: Eukaryota; Metazoa; Arthropoda; Insecta; Diptera; Culicidae. The record is from RNAcentral.
GGCGAUUGUCGGCUUAGUCGCU